This 301-nucleotide ribosomal RNA is filed under the name uncultured bacterium. Its description in RNAcentral is "bacterial SSU rRNA". It matches the Rfam family "Bacterial small subunit ribosomal RNA", at positions 133 to 434 of the family's 1533-position model. The record is from RNAcentral.
AUACAGGGGGAUAACAGUUGGAAACGACUGCUAAUACCGCAUAAGCGCACAGGAUUGCAUGAUCCAGUGUGAAAAACUCCGGUGGUAUGAGAUGGACCCGCGUCUGAUUAGCCAGUUGGCGGGGUAACGGCCCACCAAAGCGACGAUCAGUAGCCGACCUGAGAGGGUGACCGGCCACAUUGGGACUGAGACACGGCCCAAACUCCUACGGGAGGCAGCAGUGGGGAAUAUUGCACAAUGGGGGAAACCCUGAUGCAGCGACGCCGCGUGAGCGAAGAAGUAUUUCGGUAUGUAAAGCUCU